RNAcentral lists this ribosomal RNA (497 nucleotides) under uncultured bacterium. Its description in RNAcentral is "partial 16S ribosomal RNA". It matches the Rfam family "Bacterial small subunit ribosomal RNA", at positions 28 to 507 of the family's 1533-position model. The record is from RNAcentral.
GAUGAACGCUGGCGGCGUGCCUAAUACAUGCAAGUCGAGCGAACAGACGAGGAGCUUGCUCCUCUGACGUUAGCGGCGGACGGGUGAGUAACACGUGGAUAACCUACCUAUAAGACUGGGAUAACUUCGGGAAACCGGAGCUAAUACCGGAUAAUAUAUUGAACCGCAUGGUUCAAUAGUGAAAGACGGUUUUGCUGUCACUUAUAGAUGGAUCCGCGCCGCAUUAGCUAGUUGGUAAGGUAACGGCUUACCAAGGCAACGAUGCGUAGCAGACCUGAGGGGGUGAUCGGCCACACUGGAACUGAGACACGGUCCAGACUCCUACGGGAGGCAGCAGUAGGGAAUCUUCCGCAAUGGGCGAAAGCCUGACGGAGCAACGCCGCGUGAGUGAUGAAGGUCUUCGGAUCGUAAAACUCUGUUAUUAGGGAAGAACAAAUGUGUAAGUAACUAUGCACGUCUUGACGGUACCUAAUCAGAAAGCCACGGCUAACUACGUG